GCCAAAUGAUGUUUAUUUGAUACAGGAGCCUUUAGUGCAGGGCGACUCUUAAUCUGCUACCCAUCACUGAUGGUU
Small nucleolar RNA from Molossus molossus (Pallas's mastiff bat), 75 nucleotides. RefSeq annotates it as small nucleolar RNA SNORD83. The record is from RefSeq and is a predicted model, not a curated record. Lineage: Eukaryota; Metazoa; Chordata; Mammalia; Chiroptera; Molossidae. The transcript has a single exon.